GAUGAACGCUGGCGGCGUGCCUAAUACAUGCAAGUCGAGCGGACGGACGAGAAGCUUGCUGCUCUGAUGUUAGCGGCGGGCGGGUGAGUAACACGUGGAUAACCUACCUAUAAGACUGGGAUAACUUCGGGAAACCGUAGCUAAUACCGGAUAAUAUUUUGAACCGCAUGGUUCAAAAGUGAAAGACGGUCUUGCUGUCACUUAUAGAUGGAUCCGCGCUGCAUUAGCUAGUUGGUAAGGUAACGGCUUACCAAGGCAACGAUGCAUAGCCGACCUGAGAGGGUGAUCGGCCACAUUGGAACUGAGACACGGACAAGACGCCUAAGGGAGGGCGCAGUAGGGAAUCUUCCGCAAUGGGCGAAAGCCUGACGGAGUAAGGCCGAGUGAGUGAUGAAGGUCUUCGGAUCGUAAAACUCUGUUAUUAGGGAAGAACAUAUGUGUAAGUAACUGUGCACAUCUUGACGGUACCUAAUCAGAAAGCCACGGCUAACUACGUG
This 497-nucleotide ribosomal RNA is filed under the name uncultured bacterium. Its description in RNAcentral is "partial 16S ribosomal RNA". It matches the Rfam family "Bacterial small subunit ribosomal RNA", at positions 28 to 507 of the family's 1533-position model. The record is from RNAcentral.